Molecule: long non-coding RNA, 236 nt
Filed under: Lathyrus oleraceus (garden pea)
Lineage: Eukaryota; Viridiplantae; Streptophyta; Magnoliopsida; Fabales; Fabaceae
Description: Pisum sativum (pea) long non-coding RNA (PSAT_LNC002951)
Source: RNAcentral
UUAAAUUGAUGCAAAAGAAUUGGAAUAUCAACAACAAUCCAAUUGUUGCAUGUCUUUCCAUGCGUUACAAAGUUGGUGCAGUCUUCCUCUUCGCUAUCCUCUAGCACAUCAGCUAAGUGUUGUUCAUUGCCAUGAAUGAACCCUCUGCUACGGAAGUUGAGUUUCAUAUCUUCAGAUCUUGCAAUUGAUGAGCCUUUCUGGAACCCCAAACCCGUUCUGCCUUUGUUGUCGGAGAC